UACGUAGGGGGCAAGCGUUGUCCGGAAUCAUUGGGCGUAAAGCGCGCGUAGGCGGCCCGGUAAGUCCGCUGUAAAAGUCCAGGGCUCAACCCUGGAAAGCCGGUGGAUACUGUCGGGCUAGAGUCCGGAAGAGGCGAGUGGAAUUCCUGGUGUAGCGGUGGAAUGCGCAGAUAUCAGGAGGAACACCGAUGGCGAAGGCAGCUCGCUGGGACGUGACUGACGCUGAGACGCGAAAGCGUGGGUAGCAAACAGG
RNAcentral lists this ribosomal RNA (253 nucleotides) under uncultured bacterium. RNAcentral's name for it is "partial 16S ribosomal RNA". It matches the Rfam family "Bacterial small subunit ribosomal RNA", at positions 524 to 776 of the family's 1533-position model. The record is from RNAcentral.